GGAAACGACUCGCUAAUACCGUAUGUGCCCUAUGGGGGAAAGAUUUAUCGCCUAAGGAUGGGCCCGCGUUGGAUUAGCUAGUUGGUGGGGUAAUGGCCUACCAAGGCGACGAUCCAUAGCUGGUCUGAGAGGAUGAUCAGCCACACUGGGACUGAGACACGGCCCAGACUCCUACGGGAGGCAGCAGUGGGGAAUAUUGGACAAUGGGGGCAACCCUGAUCCAGCCAUGCCGCGUGAGUGAUGAAGGCCCUAGGGUUGUAAAGCUCUUUCAGCGAGGAGGAUAAUGACGUUACUCGCAGAAGAAGCCCCGGCUAACUUCGUGCCAGCAGCCGCGGUAAUACGAAGGGGGCUAGCGUUGUUCGGAAUCACUGGGCGUAAAGCGCACGUAGGCGGAUUGAUAAGUUAGGGGUGAAAUCCCGGGGCUCAACCUCGGAACUGCCUUUGAUACUGUCAGUCUUGAGUCCGAGAGAGGUGAGUGGAACUCCGAGUGUAGAGGUGAAAUUCGUAGAUAUUCGGAAGAACACCAGUGGCGAAGGCGGCUCACUGGCUCGGUACUGACGCUGAGGUGCGAAAGCGUGGGGAGC
RNAcentral lists this ribosomal RNA (584 nucleotides) under Actinobacteria bacterium GUDS1567. RNAcentral's name for it is "bacterial SSU rRNA". It matches the Rfam family "Bacterial small subunit ribosomal RNA", at positions 152 to 769 of the family's 1533-position model. Lineage: Bacteria; Bacillati; Actinomycetota; Actinomycetes. The record is from RNAcentral.